CCUACGGGAGGCAGCAGUAGGGAAUAUUGCUCAAUGGGGGAAACCCUGAAGCAGCAACGCCGCGUGGAGGAUGAAGGUUUUCGGAUUGUAAACUCCUUUUGUUAGAGAAGAUAAUGACGGUAUCUAACGAAUAAGCACCGGCUAACUCCGUGCCAGCAGCCGCGGUAAUACGGAGGGUGCAAGCGUUACUCGGAAUCACUGGGCGUAAAGAGCGCGUAGGCGGGAUAGCAAGUCAGAUGUGAAAUCCUAGGGCUUAACCCUAGAACUGCAUUUGAAACUGUUAUUCUAGAGUAUGGGAGAGGUAGGUGGAAUUCGUGGUGUAGGGGUAAAAUCCGUAGAGAUCAAGAGGAACACUCAUUGCGAAGGCGACCUGCUAGAACAUAACUGACGCUGAUGCGCGAAAGCGUGGGGAGCAAACAGGAUUAGAUACCCCAGUAGUC
RNAcentral lists this ribosomal RNA (440 nucleotides) under uncultured bacterium. RNAcentral's name for it is "partial 16S ribosomal RNA". It matches the Rfam family "Bacterial small subunit ribosomal RNA", at positions 338 to 795 of the family's 1533-position model. The record is from RNAcentral.